This is a long non-coding RNA of Oreochromis niloticus (Nile tilapia), 256 nucleotides long. RefSeq lists it as uncharacterized. The transcript is spliced from 2 exons. NCBI's taxonomy places the organism in Eukaryota, Metazoa, Chordata, Actinopteri, Cichliformes, Cichlidae. The record is from RefSeq and is a predicted model, not a curated record.
UCCACUGCCCAUACCGAUAAUCAAGUUGCUUGUGGAAACUCCCAUUCCCUGGCCCUGACUAAAGGAGGCGAUGUCUUCUCGUGGGGUUUUAAACAGUCAUGGUCAGCUGGGCCUGGGGAAGGAGGUGCCGGUGCAGCAUACACCCGUCAUAAUUUGUGCUUUGGCUGGAGUAGCAGUAACCCAGAUUGCAGCAGGAGGGACCCACAGUCUGUUCCUCACCCUCGCAGACCUGGUGUACUGCUGUGGGGCCAAUAAA